AUACGUAGGGGGCGAGCGUUGUCCGGAAUGAUUGGGCGUAAAGGGCGCGUAGGCGGCGCGGUAAGUCUGGAGUGAAAGUCCUGCUUUCAAGGUGGGAAUUGCUUUGGAUACUGCCGCGCUUGAGUGCAGGAGAGGUUAUCGGAAUUCCCGGUGUAGCGGUGAAAUGCGUAGAGAUCGGGAGGAACACCAGUGGCGAAGGCGGGUAACUGGACUGCAACUGACGCUGAGGCGCGAAAGUGUGGGGAGCAAACAGGAUUAGAUACCCUGGUAGUCCACACUGUAAACGAUGAAUGCUAGGUGUAAGAGGUAUCGACCCCCUUUGUGCCGGAGUCAACACAAUAAGCAUUCCGCCUGGGGAGUACGGCCGCAAGAUUGAAACUCAAAUGAAUUGACGGGG
RNAcentral lists this ribosomal RNA (397 nucleotides) under uncultured bacterium. RNAcentral's name for it is "partial 16S ribosomal RNA". It matches the Rfam family "Bacterial small subunit ribosomal RNA", at positions 523 to 918 of the family's 1533-position model. The record is from RNAcentral.